This 1642-nucleotide long non-coding RNA is filed under the name Nicotiana tabacum (common tobacco). Its description in RNAcentral is "long non-coding RNA (NTAB_LNC016726)". Lineage: Eukaryota; Viridiplantae; Streptophyta; Magnoliopsida; Solanales; Solanaceae. The record is from RNAcentral.
UCGUCUCUCCCAUUGCCCUCUCUCAGAGAUCACCCAUGGAACCCUAACCCGCCGCCCCUAAUUUCCACCGCCUCCACCGACGGCGCUUACUCCGUUCCCCACCAAACCCUAGAUCCCCCUCGACCCCCUCAUUCCAAAUAUCCAUCUAACUUCCCUCGAAUCACUCCUGAAUCCUUCGAAUCUUAGAUCGAAAGGAUGAACCCUAAUCCCCAAAAGCCACGAUUCGGGUCUGUUUGAAGUUUUGGGGCUUACUUUGAUGUUAUUCAUGUGUUCUUAUUAAGAACGCAUGAUUAAUGUUAUAGUUGGCCGGAAAAUUUGAGAAUUUGAGGAUUCAUGUUUCAUUCCUCAAAUCGCUCCGAUUUCAGUAGGUAUUUUCCGUUAUUCUUUUCAGUUUUAUCUAAGCUUUCAUUUUCAUUUUUUCUAUUCUUCUGUUUCUUGACCCCUCUGUUAUUUUGUGUUUUCCCGGAUUGCUUUCUUAGGCAUGUUCAGUUUAGGUUAGUAUUGUAGCUUGUUUUGUUAAUUAAUUUAAUUUAAAUUCGUUAGUUUAGCCAAAUAGUUAUUAAGUCGUUUUAGGUUGUUUGAUCUGUUAAACCAUUUCAGAGUUUGCAAUUUUCUUUUUAACUAAGUGUAUUGUUUGGAGUUGGGCUGUCUCUGAUUAAAUUGACAAAGAGCAGCCCGUUCAGAUUACGUUGGGCUAUUGGGUCAGCUUGACCCAGGUAAAUGGCUGGGGGUAAUUUCAGGGGUUGCGGGGGUAGUUUAGGAAUUUGGCUUGAGAAAUCUUUGUUGUAACAGCCUAGGGAAGCUUCCUAGAAGCUGGGAGGGGGAUUAACUUGCAAUAGCUGAAUUGAACUAAGGUUAAUUGAGCAAACAAGAAAAUUGACUGGGGAUUCCUAAGCUAAAAUGAGAAUUAGAGAGGGACUAAGGGAUAAAAACUAAUUCUUAAAAGCUGCCCUACUUCCUUGUCUAUAAAGGAAUACUUCUUGCAUUUGAGGGGGGGGGGGGGGUUCAGAGAUAAAAAUUCUGAAAAAUACCAAUGGCUGAAAAUCUAAAAAAAUUGUUCCCUCGAUUUCUCUGCUUUGAGUUUUGAAGUUUUCAAUCACUAAAACAUUUUGAUUCUCUCCGAGAUUGAAAUGGUUUAAAUUUGGAUUUCUAAAAGUUUUGGGUUGAAUUCUUGUUGGGUGGUUACUGUUCCAUUGGUUUCACAAGCUGAUUUCACUACUUAUUGUUGAUUGUCAAGUCUGGGUUAGCUUCUGGCUGCUACUGUUCAAGGCCGAUUCCUAAUUUUCUGUUUGUUUGGCUUUCCAGGUAUUUCCUUGACUUUUUAAGUGACAUAUGGAGUUCAAAUCUGAAAACAUGUAACCAAAAUGAAAGAUCUGAGAAUGAAUCUUAACUUUAUUGAAUAUCAGUCCCUGUUCAAAUAGAAUUUUUCCCUGUCUUUGUAAUAAUUUAAGCUCUUUCAUGGGUUGUCCAUUCCAUUGUGUUGAUACUCUUAUGUUUCAUCUUCAAAAGUAUGUUUUAGACUUCUAGUUCAUCAUGUGGUUCUGUAAUUAAGUCGAAGGACUUCGUAUUUGAACAUUUAAAGGAUGUGAAUGCUUCUGUAGUAUAGGUUUAAAUCAGUUAGGGCAUAUCAUGAUGGUUUGGA